GGGAGUGUAGCUCAGUUGGUCAGAGCAUUCGGCUGUUAACCGAAGUGUCGGGGAUUCGAGUUCCUCCUCUCCCGCCA
This 77-nucleotide transfer RNA is filed under the name Clostridiaceae bacterium. Its description in RNAcentral is "tRNA-Asn". It matches the Rfam family "tRNA". From Rfam's summary of the family: Transfer RNA (tRNA) molecules are approximately 80 nucleotides in length. The record is from RNAcentral. Lineage: Bacteria; Bacillati; Bacillota; Clostridia; Eubacteriales; Clostridiaceae.